GAUGAACGCUGGCGGCGUGCCUAAUACAUGCAAGUCGAACGAACAGACGAUGAGCUUGCUCCUCUGACGUUAGCGGCGGACGGGUGGGUAACACGUGUAUCCCCUACCUAUCAUUCUGGUAUAAUUACGGAACACCGGUUCUAAUACCAGAUAAUAUCUUGAACCGCAGUGUGCAAUGGUGAUAUGCGGCUUUGCUGUUUCUAAUAGCUGCUUCCGGGCUGCAUUAGCUGGUUGGUAGGGUAACGGCUUACCAAGGCUACGCUGCGUAGCCCAACGGAGAGGCUGAUCGGCGACCUUGGAACUGAGACACGGUCCAGACUACUACGGGAGGCAGCAGUAGGGAAUGUUCGGCAGUGGGCGCAAGCCUGACGCAGCAACGCCGAGUGAGUGAUGAAGGUGUUCGGAUCGUAAAACCCUGUUUUGGGGGAAGAACAGAUGUGGCAUGAAACCUGGCCGUCUUGACGGUACCGAAUAAAAAAGCCACGGCUAACUACGUG
This 497-nucleotide ribosomal RNA is filed under the name uncultured bacterium. Its description in RNAcentral is "partial 16S ribosomal RNA". It matches the Rfam family "Bacterial small subunit ribosomal RNA", at positions 28 to 507 of the family's 1533-position model. The record is from RNAcentral.